CCCUUAUAUGUUCUGGGCAGCACGCGCGCUACAAUGGUCUUCGCAAACGGAUGCAUUCUCGAAGGAGAAUGCCAAUCUUGGAAUCUAUGCCUUGGUCGGGACAGUUGCUUGCAAUUUUUCGACUCGAACCAGGAAUUCCUUGUAAUCGUGAUUCAUCACAUCACGAUGAAUACGUCCCUGCCCUUUGUACACACCGCCCGUCGCUCCUACCGAUCGAAGAGUUAGGUGAAUUGUUUUGAUCGAUAAGAUUUGACUAUGGUCAACUCUCGUUGUGAAAUUCUGUGAAUCUGACUGUUUAGAGGAAGGAAAAGUCGUAACA
RNAcentral lists this ribosomal RNA (319 nucleotides) under uncultured eukaryote. RNAcentral's name for it is "partial 18S ribosomal RNA". It matches the Rfam family "Eukaryotic small subunit ribosomal RNA", at positions 1470 to 1796 of the family's 1831-position model. The record is from RNAcentral.